RNAcentral lists this transfer RNA (75 nucleotides) under Deltaproteobacteria bacterium. RNAcentral describes it as "tRNA-Arg". It matches the Rfam family "tRNA". From Rfam's summary of the family: Transfer RNA (tRNA) molecules are approximately 80 nucleotides in length. Their secondary structure includes four short double-helical elements and three loops (D, anti-codon, and T loops). Further hydrogen bonds mediate the characteristic L-shaped molecular structure. tRNAs have two regions of fundamental functional importance: the anti-codon, which is responsible for specific mRNA codon recognition, and the 3' end, to which the tRNAs corresponding amino acid is attached (by aminoacyl-tRNA synthetases). tRNAs cope with the degeneracy of the genetic code in two manners: having more than one tRNA (with a specific anti-codon) for a particular amino acid; and 'wobble' base-pairing, i.e. permitting non-standard base-pairing at the 3rd anti-codon position. The record is from RNAcentral. Lineage: Bacteria; Pseudomonadati; Myxococcota; Myxococcia.
GCCCUCGUAGCUUAACGGAUAAAGCACCAGCCUCCGAAGCUGGUGAUACAGGUUCGAUUCCUGUCGAGGGCACCA